GACGAACGCUGGCGGCGCGCUUAACACAUGCAAGUCGAACGGAAAGGCCUGCUUUCCCUUGUGGAUUGCGGGUACUCGAGUGGCGAACGGGUGAGUAACACGUGAGUGAUCUGCCCCCAACUUGGGUAUAAGCCUGGGAAACUGGGUCUAAUUCCCGAUAGGACUGCAGGGUGGUGCCUGUGGUGGAAAACGAUUUUCUAGUGGUUGGGGAUGAGCUCGCGGCCUAUCAGCUUGUUGGUGGGGGAAUGGCCUACCAAGGCGGCGACGGGUAGCCGGCCUGAGAGGGGGGACGGCCACAUUGGGACUGAGAUACGGCCCAGACUCCUACGGGAGGCAGCAGUGGGGAAUAGUGCACAAUGGGCGGAAGCCUGAUGCAGCGACGCCGCGUGGGGGAUGACGGCCUUCGGGUUGUAAACUCCUUUCGACCGCGAGGAAGCCACCUGGUUGGAAGGGUGGUGACGGUAGUGGUAGAAGAAGCACCGGCUAACUACGUG
Molecule: ribosomal RNA, 494 nt
Filed under: uncultured bacterium
Lineage: Bacteria
Description: partial 16S ribosomal RNA
Rfam family: Bacterial small subunit ribosomal RNA
Source: RNAcentral